CCCUUAGAUGCUCUGGGCCGCACGCGCGCUACACUGGUCGAUGCAACGAGUUUCUUUCCUUGGCCGACAGGCCUGGGCAAUCUUUGAACAUCGAUCGUGAUCGGGAUAGAUUCUUGUAAUUUUUGAUCUUAAACGAGGAAUUCCUAGUAAACGCAAGUCAUCAGCUUGCAUUGAUUACGUCCCUGCCCUUUGUACACACCGCCCGUCGCUCCUACCGAUUGAAUGGUCCGGUGAAAUGUUCGGAUCGCGGCAAAUCGGACGGGUAACCGUCAGGUUCGCUGCGAGAAGUUCAUUAAACCUUAUCAUUUAGAGGAAGGAGAAGUCGUAACA
This 330-nucleotide ribosomal RNA is filed under the name uncultured eukaryote. RNAcentral's name for it is "partial 18S ribosomal RNA". It matches the Rfam family "Eukaryotic small subunit ribosomal RNA", at positions 1470 to 1796 of the family's 1831-position model. The record is from RNAcentral.